UAUAAACAUCUCCAUAGAUUAAAAUUAUAAUCUAUUCGCCUAUUUUGUUUAUCAACACAACACAAUUCGCUACUGUUUUAGUAAGCCGAGUUCCGAAUCAAAAAUAACUUUUCGCUUCUAAAUGGCCAGUCUCAAUCUGUGAAACUAUUAUAAACCUUAUUUCAAUAUCCAUAGUGGCGCCACCUCCAGCGGUGGUACCGCCGCAACGGAACGGCCCGGCGCCUCAAGCACCCGCGCCGAACAAUAACGAUGGGUGGUCGUCGGACGGCUCGGCUGACGAUAACGUGACGGUGUUGGUGCCGCCCGCGCACCUCGCGCGCCGCCCCCCGCCGCGCCCCCGACCGCGCCCCGGACCUCCUCCCGGUUUGAAGCCUCCCGGGAUAGAGACGCCUCCCAAUGCAGCCGUCAAUGUG
Molecule: non-coding RNA, 413 nt
Organism: Plutella xylostella (diamondback moth)
Lineage: Eukaryota; Metazoa; Arthropoda; Insecta; Lepidoptera; Plutellidae
Source: RefSeq, a predicted model, not a curated record